Molecule: long non-coding RNA, 1041 nt
Organism: Eriocheir sinensis (Chinese mitten crab)
Lineage: Eukaryota; Metazoa; Arthropoda; Malacostraca; Decapoda; Varunidae
Exons: 2
Source: RefSeq, a predicted model, not a curated record
CCGACUCCGGCCUCUACGAGUGCCAGGUGUCCACGCAGCCCAAGAUAUCCCGCCGCUUCAGGCUCAGCGUUGUGGGUUCCCGACAUACUUCCCCUUCCGGAAGAUCUCGCCUCUGAGAUCUCACAGGUUUUGGUGGAGAAGAUACGCCUUGCAAUGUCUGCAGUUGGCUCGAGUCUGGAAGGAGGCGGCAUUGUGCGUACCGCAGGACAUAGGAAUACCCAACGGCAGACGUCACCAGCAGAAGAACCAGGAUGACGACAAUGGCGAAGACAAUCCACCAAUGGAUUGCGGAUUGGAAGGGCUGUUCCGGCUCGACCACAGAAUUGAGGGGCUGCAAGCCAGCUGUUAGCUCCUGUAGGGGGAUAGACUCAGCACUGCGAAGAGAACCUUGCCGAAGCGUCAAUAUACCACUACCCGUCAAGCUGACAGUAUGUCUGUUUACAGGAUUGGUAUGGCAUGUGAGUGUCAGAAUGAUGGGGGAGGCAAGUGAACAGGUCCAGUAGCCAGGACCUUUUAUAAACAUAGGGGGAAAUGUUUUCAAGACUAUUGUGUGGCAGAGUUUUUUUUUUUUUUUUUUUUUUCACUGACUCAUGAUUCAAGAAAGCAGCCGAUUCACAAGAGGCUGCGUGACUAGUCUCAUAGACGGGGCCUGUGGGAGGACAAACUAACAUAUGGUUAUUCUUGUUACUGUGUUCCAUACUAGAAAGCAGAAAAUAUAUUUUCCUAUUAUCAUGAAGGCAAUAUAUCGUGAAUCAACACUAUACAUAAGAAAGUAAGUGCUAUUCUGCACAGAAAAUGGAAGGGAGUCGAUUCGAAAGACAUCAAAGGUGUCAUGCGGAUCUCCUCGUAAAGGUUUGGUGAGACAGAAAUUACGAGAAUCGUGCAAAACCUAGGCUUCCUUUAAUGUGCUGAACAACUGUUUGUCUCACAUAAUGGUUGGAGUUAUGUAUGUUUGCAGGGGAGCCUGCAGACUCAACUUUAAAUCUUGUAUACCUGGUCUCAUGUGUCUCUAUGCUAAGUCAAAAUACAACAAUGAUUGUA